UACGUAGGUGGCAAGCGUUAUCCGGAUUUAUUGGGCGUGAAGGGAACGCAGGCGGUCUUUUAAGUCUGAUGUGAAAGCCUUCGGCUUAACCGUAGUAGUGCAUUGGAAACUGGGAGACUUGAGUGCAGAAGAGGAGAGUGGAACUCCAUGUGUAGCGGUGAAAUGCGUAGGUAUAUGGAAGAACACCAGUGGCGAAAGCGGCUCUCUGGUCUGUAACUGACGCUGAGGUUCGAAAGCGUGGGUAGCAAACAGG
Molecule: ribosomal RNA, 253 nt
Filed under: uncultured bacterium
Lineage: Bacteria
Description: partial 16S ribosomal RNA
Rfam family: Bacterial small subunit ribosomal RNA
Source: RNAcentral